RNAcentral lists this ribosomal RNA (253 nucleotides) under uncultured bacterium. RNAcentral describes it as "partial 16S ribosomal RNA". It matches the Rfam family "Bacterial small subunit ribosomal RNA", at positions 524 to 776 of the family's 1533-position model. The record is from RNAcentral.
GACGGAGGGUGCAAGCGUUGUUCGGAAUUACUGGGCGUAAAGCGCGCGUAGGCUGCUUGGAAAGUCGGAUGUGAAAGCCCUGGGCUUAACCUAGGAAGUGCAUUCGAAACUUCCGAGCUGGAGUUCUGGAGAGGAAGGCGGAAUUCUCGGUGUAGAGGUGAAAUUCGUAGAUAUCGAGAGGAACACCGGUGGCGAAGGCGGCCUCCUGGACAGUGACUGACGCUGAGACGCGAAAGCGUGGGGAGCAAACAGG